RNAcentral lists this transfer RNA (66 nucleotides) under Ecnomus sp. XG-2021. Its description in RNAcentral is "tRNA-Thr". The record is from RNAcentral. Lineage: Eukaryota; Metazoa; Arthropoda; Insecta; Trichoptera; Ecnomidae.
GUUUAUAUAAUUUAAAUUUAAAAAUUUUGAUUUUGUAAAUCAACCUUAGAAUAAAUCUUUUAAACU